Molecule: long non-coding RNA, 872 nt
Filed under: Equus asinus (donkey)
Lineage: Eukaryota; Metazoa; Chordata; Mammalia; Perissodactyla; Equidae
Description: lncRNA (ENSEASG00005024467.1)
Source: RNAcentral
CCCCGGGCUCUCCGCGCUGCUACCUUUGGUUCGGAAGGGGGAGGAGGGCUGGCAGGGGGCUGGGGAACGGGAAAGGGGACCCCGGGAGCAUCCCCAGUGAACCUCAUCGCUUGGAAGCACGGCCACCCAAGUGACUCCGAGGACAAAGGAGGUGACACACAGACUCUACAGGCAGUGUGAUUACAGAGAUGAAUAUGGUCCAGUUCUUGCCCUCAAGGAGCUUAUGGCUAAAUGAAGGAAGUCAACACAGAUAACUUAAGUAUAAUGUGAUACGUGAUAAGAAAGGAAAACCUGCGCUGAGGUCUGAAGGAUAAAUUAGCCAAAGGGAAAACGGGGAACAAGUUUCCAGGCUGGGAAGAGGAGGAUGAAAAGCAGCAAGGAGGCCUGGGAAGUUCAGAGGUUUUAUUCUGCUUCUUCCCAUGUCAGGUGGCUCUGCUCGGGAAUGGGCUGACCCCCUGGAAUCUGAGGCAAAAGGAGAGAGAAUGAAAAGAACAAAUAAGGAGGAGUGACCCUGGCUUCUGUCAGAGGAAGGUCCAGAACAAGAAGAUUCCGCCAGGGCAGAAGCAACAGCAAUAGCACCUUUCCUUUGGAUGGCACUUUGAGGGUCACAAAGCCCUCUCACCAUCAUCAUCCUCCAUGACUUACAUGACAUCCUUUCCUGGCAAUGGGGGCAGGUAUCACCAUCACAAGUUCACAAAGGAGAAACCUGAUGCUCAGACAUUUUUAAAGGACUUGGCCAGAGUCAUAUUUGCUCAGAAGUCUCGGGGCCAUUGUUAACAUUCUUACUGACCUGUGACCUCUUCCAUUCGGCUGUUUAGAAAAAAGACUUAGAUCCUCUGCCUCAAUAAAUUCUGAUGCAUGCACAAACCUAA